UUUUUAUGGAUCGGUUUGCUGUUUAAUUUUGUGUUAUUUUUAUGUUUUAGUAAAGUAUUAUUUUGUUGGUGUAUUUUAUUGAUUUAAUUUUUUUGGCUAUAGUUUAUUUGUACUGUAGGGGAGUAUUGAUUUAUUUUUAGAAGUUUACUUGUUUUGUUGUACCUUGUGUAUCAGGGUUUACUGAAUUUUAUUAUUUAUUUUUAUUUCCCGAUUCUAGAAGGGGCUAUUAAUUUAUUUUAGUUGUUGUUUUAUUAACAUUAAUAAUGGGUUAAUAGUGAUGAAAUGUUAUUCGUCUUUAGGGGUUUCUGGUUUUUCAAGAAAUGAAUUUAAUUCAUGCGUCUUAUUUAGAGUUUUAUUAUUUUAUUAUUUGUUUUUAUUUGGCGUUAAGAUUGGGAGGGAUUAGCUUCUUAUUUUAUUUUUAUAAUUUUUUGUUUAUUUAGUCUUGUGGAUUUUAUGGUGAUUUUCAAUUUGAUUAUGUUAAAAUUUUAUUUGUUUUUUUCUUUAUUUUGGUUUGUUUAAUUAUUUAUUGAAAUGUGUUCUUUAUCUUUAAUUUUGGUUAGUAAUUAUUGUAGAAUUAGUAAAUUUGUUAUUAGAUUGUUUUUGUUUGGUGUUAAUUUCUUUUGAGGAACUAGGCAAAUUUCAUGUCCGCCUGUUUAACAAAAACAUCUCUUCUCGUUAGUUUUUGAAGUAUGGCCUGCCCACUGACCUUGAAUGUUGAAGGGCCGCGGUAUUUUGACCGUGCAAAGGUAGCAUAGUCAUUAGUUCUUUAAUUGUGAUCUGGUAUGAAUGGCUUGACGAGGCAUGAGCUGUCUUAAUUUUGAAUUGUUUAUUGAAUUUGGUCUUUGAGUUAAAAUUCUUAGAUGUUUUUAUGGGACGAGAAGACCCUAUAGAGUUUUACAUUUAUUAUGGUCUCUUUCUGUUUGUGAGGGUUCACUAGGGCUGUCUAAUAUGUUUUGUUGGGGUGAUGGGAGGGAUAUUGUUUAACCCCUCCUUUAUGUUGUUAUAUUUAUUUAUAUUUGCUUGAUCCAUUUAUUUUGAUUGUAAGAUUAAAUUACCUUAGGGAUAACAGCGUUAUCUCCCUUGAGAGUUCUUAUCGGCAGGGGGGUUUGCGACCUCGAUGUUGGAUUAAGGUUUAUUUUCGGUGUAGGAGCUGGAAAGUUAUAUUGGGUCUGUUCGACCUUUAAAAUCUUACAUGAUCUGAGUUCAAACCGGCGUGAGCCAGGUUGGUUUCUAUCUAUAAUGGGUUUUUAUACCUUAGUACGAGAGGACCAGGUAUUUGGAAUAAUUUUAUGUUUGUUGAAUAUUAUUAACUG
RNAcentral lists this ribosomal RNA (1313 nucleotides) under Reticulitermes flavipes (eastern subterranean termite). RNAcentral describes it as "LSU rRNA". The stretch from base 867 to 1240 matches the Rfam family "Bacterial large subunit ribosomal RNA", at positions 2073 to 2647 of the family's 2925-position model. The record is from RNAcentral. Lineage: Eukaryota; Metazoa; Arthropoda; Insecta; Blattodea; Rhinotermitidae.